UACAGGGGGGGCAAGCGUUGUUCGGAAUUACUGGGCGUAAAGGGCUCGUAGGUGGCCAACUAAGUCAGACGUGAAAUCCCUCGGCUUAACCGGGGAACUGCGUCUGAUACUGGAUGGCUUGAGUUUGGGAGAGGGAUGCGGAAUUCCAGGUGUAGCGAUGAAAUGCGUAGAUAUCUGGAGGAACACCAAUGGCGAAGGCAGCUCGCUGGAACGGUACUGACGCUGAGGCGCGAAAGCGUGGGGAGCGAACAGG
RNAcentral lists this ribosomal RNA (253 nucleotides) under uncultured bacterium. Its description in RNAcentral is "partial 16S ribosomal RNA". It matches the Rfam family "Bacterial small subunit ribosomal RNA", at positions 524 to 776 of the family's 1533-position model. The record is from RNAcentral.